RNAcentral lists this long non-coding RNA (297 nucleotides) under Gossypium raimondii (Peruvian cotton). RNAcentral describes it as "long non-coding RNA (GRAI_LNC006223)". Lineage: Eukaryota; Viridiplantae; Streptophyta; Magnoliopsida; Malvales; Malvaceae. The record is from RNAcentral.
CUUCUCUGACUUUCUUGUCUUCUUCGCUGUCAACAAGUUCGUUCAAUCUCAGGGUCUACAGUGAGUAAAUCAAUUAUUCGGUCAAUACUCAUAAACACCUGAAAUAAUAAAAGAAAAAUUAACUAAGUUAAAAUUUGAAAAAAAAAACCAAAAUGCAAAACUAACAACUUCACAAAUAAUGACUUUAUUUUAAAACACAGUCCCCGGCAACGGCGCCAAAAACUUGGAACAAUGAAAAUGUGCAAGUGUACACAAUCGCAACAAGUAAUAAAGUGACAAGUAAAUGUCAAGUUAUCG